GACGAACCACACGACCGUUAUUCGGAAUCACUGGGCUUAAAGGGUGCGUAGGCGGCGCGGAAAGUAGGGUGUGAAAUCCCUCGGCUCAACCGAGGAAUUGCGCUCUAAACUACCGUGCUCGAGGGAGAUAGAGGUGAGCGGAACUUAGGGUGGAGCGGUGAAAUGCGUUGAUAUCCUAAGGAACACCGGUGGCGAAAGCGGCUCACUGGAUCUCUUCUGACGCUGAGGCACGAAAGCUAGGGUAGCGAACAGG
This 253-nucleotide ribosomal RNA is filed under the name uncultured bacterium. RNAcentral describes it as "partial 16S ribosomal RNA". It matches the Rfam family "Bacterial small subunit ribosomal RNA", at positions 524 to 776 of the family's 1533-position model. The record is from RNAcentral.